UAUACAUGCAAGUCAAGGAGAAAGUUUUCUUCGGAAAAUUAUUAAACUGGCGAACGGGUGAGUAACGCGUAGGCAACCUACCCUAGAGAUUGGGAUAACAUCAGGAAACCGGUGCUAAUACUGAAUAAUGCGAUAGAUUCUUCGGAAUAUUAUGGUUAAAGCGGGCUUUGGCUCGUACUUUAGGAUGGGCCUGCGUCCGAUUAGCUUGUUGGUAGGGUAAUGGCCUACCAAGGCAAUGAUCGGUAGCUGGUCUUAGAGGAUGAUCAGCCACACUGGGAUUGAGAUACGGCCCAGACUCCUACGGGAGGCAGCAGUAGGGAAUUUUGCGCAAUGGGGGAAACCCUGACGCAGCAACGCCGCGUGACCGAUGAAGCUUUUAGGAGUGUAAAGGUCUGUCGUAAGGGAAGAAAAAUUUAGAUGUGAAUAAUGUUUAGAUAUGACGGUACCUUGCAAGAAAGCACCGGCUAACUUAGUGCCAGCAGCCGCGGUAAUACUAGGGGUGCUAGCGUUGUCCGGAAUUAUUGGGCGUAAAGGGUCCGUAGGCGUCUUGAUAAGUCACCUGUUAAAGACAUCGGCUUAACCGAUGAAAUGCAGUUGAAACUGUCGGGAUAGAGUAUAGGAGAGGAAAGUGGAAUUUCUGGUGUAGCGGUGACAUGCGUAGAUAUCAGGAGGCACACCAAUGGCGAAGGCAACUUUCUGGCCUAUUACUGACGCUGAUGGACGAAAGCGUGGGGAGCGAACAGGAUUAGAUACCCUGGUAGUCCACGCCGUAAACGAUGAGUACUUGGUGUCGGGGG
Molecule: ribosomal RNA, 797 nt
Filed under: uncultured bacterium
Lineage: Bacteria
Description: bacterial SSU rRNA
Rfam family: Bacterial small subunit ribosomal RNA
Source: RNAcentral